RNAcentral lists this ribosomal RNA (1020 nucleotides) under Alternaria lolii. RNAcentral's name for it is "SSU rRNA". It matches the Rfam family "Eukaryotic small subunit ribosomal RNA", at positions 75 to 1104 of the family's 1831-position model. Lineage: Eukaryota; Fungi; Ascomycota; Dothideomycetes; Pleosporales; Pleosporaceae. The record is from RNAcentral.
UAUACCGUGAAACUGCGAAUGGCUCAUUAAAUCAGUUAUCGUUUAUUUGAUAAUACCUUACUACUUGGAUAACCGUGGUAAUUCUAGAGCUAAUACAUGCUGAAAAUCCCGACUUCGGAAGGGAUGUAUUUAUUAGAUAAAAAACCAAUGCCCUUCGGGGCUCUUUGGUGAUUCAUGAUAACUUUACGGAUCGCAUAGCCUUGCGCUGGCGACGGUUCAUUCAAAUUUCUGCCCUAUCAACUUUCGAUGGUAAGGUAUUGGCUUACCAUGGUUUCAACGGGUAACGGGGAAUUAGGGUUCGAUUCCGGAGAGGGAGCCUGAGAAACGGCUACCACAUCCAAGGAAGGCAGCAGGCGCGCAAAUUACCCAAUCCUGAUACAGGGAGGUAGUGACAAUAAAUACUGAUACAGGGCUCUUUUGGGUCUUGUAAUUGGAAUGAGUACAAUUUAAACCUCUUAACGAGGAACAAUUGGAGGGCAAGUCUGGUGCCAGCAGCCGCGGUAAUUCCAGCUCCAAUAGCGUAUAUUAAAGUUGUUGCAGUUAAAAAGCUCGUAGUUGAAACUUGGGCCUGGCUGGCGGGUCCGCCUCACCGCGUGCACUCGUCCGGCCGGGCCUUCCUUCUGAAGAACCUCAUGCCCUUCACUGGGCGUGCUGGGGAAUCAGGACUUUUACUUUGAAAAAAUUAGAGUGUUCAAAGCAGGCCUUUGCUCGAAUACGUUAGCAUGGAAUAAUAAAAUAGGGCGUGCGUUUCUAUUUUGUUGGUUUCUAGAGACGCCGCAAUGAUUAACAGGAACAGUCGGGGGCAUCAGUAUUCCGUUGUCAGAGGUGAAAUUCUUGGAUUUACGGAAGACUAACUACUGCGAAAGCAUUUGCCAAGGAUGUUUUCAUUAAUCAGUGAACGAAAGUUAGGGGAUCGAAGACGAUCAGAUACCGUCGUAGUCUUAACCGUAAACUAUGCCGACUAGGGAUCGGGCGAUGUUCUUUUUCUGACUCGCUCGGCACCUUACGAGAAAUCAAAGU